Molecule: ribosomal RNA, 253 nt
Filed under: uncultured bacterium
Lineage: Bacteria
Description: partial 16S ribosomal RNA
Rfam family: Bacterial small subunit ribosomal RNA
Source: RNAcentral
UACGAAGGGGGCUAGCGUUGUCCGGAAUCAUUGGGCGUAAAGCGCGUGUAGGCGGUCCGGUAAGUCCGCUGUGAAAGUCGGGGGCUCAACCCUCGGAUGCCGGUGGAUACUGUCAGGCUUGAGUACGGAAGAGGCGAGUGGAAUUCCUGGUGUAGCGGUGAAAUGCGCAGAUAUCAGGAGGAACACCAAUUGCGAAGGCAGCUCGCUGGGACGUUACUGACGCUGAGACGCGAAAGCGUGGGGAGCAAACAGG